Non-coding RNA from Sus scrofa (pig), 11966 nucleotides. The record is from RefSeq and is a predicted model, not a curated record. NCBI's taxonomy places the organism in Eukaryota, Metazoa, Chordata, Mammalia, Artiodactyla, Suidae.
UGGUGUAGCCAGCUGCAGUAGCUCCAAUCCGACCCCUAGCCUGAGAACCUCCAUAUGCCUUGGGUGCGGCCCUAAAAAGCAAAAAACAUAACAAAACAAAAAACAAAAAAAAAUCACAAACAAAAAACUCGUGAUGAUUUAGGUCUUACUCUCUUAGCAAAUGUUACACAAUACAGUGUUAUCAACUGUAGUCAUCAUUUAUAGAUUACAGUGUCAGACUUUAUCUUAUAAAGGUGCGCGUACCCUUCUAUCAUCUUCUCUCAGUUUCCUCCACCACCCCCAGCCCAGCUCCUGACAACCACUUCUCUACCCUCUGUCUCUAGACGUCUGACUUUUCUUUUUCCUUUUUGUGUAAAGUUCAUCUGUAAGUGAUACCAUGCAGUAUUUUUCUUUAUCCAGCUUAUUGCACUUGGCCUCAUGCCCUCUAGGUCCAUCUAUUUUGUUGCAAAUGGCAGAAUUUCCCUCCUUCUCAUGGCUGCAUAAUAUUCUAUUACAUGUACGUGUAUCUACAUUUAUCGCAUCUUCUUUACCCGUUUACCCAUUGGCAGACACUAGGUGUUUUCAUGCCUUGGCUAUUGUGGAUACUUCUGCAGUGAAUAUGGGAAUACAGGUAUCUCUUCAAGAGCCCCUGAGUAGUUCCCGCAUGUGAUUUUAGAAUACCCAGGAUGCUGGCUUUUGGUGGGAGGUUGUGGAUAAGCACCGCAGCUCCUUGGCCUAGGAGUCACCCGCCCUCAAUGACUGUGCUGCUUCAAAGCAAAGUUAACUUGGCACAGAAACCUCUGGCCACCCAAAGUCAUUCUUCAUUCAGCUGAGAUAACUAUCAAAACCCCUGUUAAUUGCCAACAUUGUCCUAGACACUUGGGGUACAUCAAUAAAAAUAAGUCCUACUCUUGUAGAACUUAUAUUCGAGAAAGGGGGCAUAAAAUGAACAAUAAGGAUAAGGAAUGAUGGUAUGUUAGCAGACAGGCCUAUGUAAACAGAGAAAUAGAACAGGGCAAGGGAGUCGGGACACAGGUUGCUGUUCAUUGAGACAGCGCCACUGGAGCACAGAGGUGAAGGUUGUGAAGGGUAAGCCACGUGGGUGCCCAUGAGGAGAGUUCCAAGGAGAAGAAACAGCCAGUCCAAAAGCCUUAAGGAAGAGCCAGGAGCAACAUGAUGGAAUAGAAGGAUGAUAAAGUCAGGGGGGCAGGCAGAAUGGAGCAAGGUUGCCCAUCUUCGUGACUUGACUCGGUUCCCUUCUAACUCAAGAACCUGUUAGCCACCUUCAGUGCCCUUCUGCCCAGUUGUUCACCCAAGCUUCACAGUGCAGCCUGAUUACCAGAUCCAUUAUGUGCCAAGAACUGAGCUGGAAAGUGAAAGUACUCCCCUGUCUGAAGCCAGGUGACCAUGGUAGCACUUCCCAUUCCACACUAGUUUGGAUUACAGUGACAGUGUUUGCAGGUGUAAUACGUACUCCGAGGACAAAUUUCCCUACCUGCCAGCUGUUUGAAGACCUGUGUGACUUAAGGCCCUCUCUCAGCUCACACUUAGGUUCAGUUUUAUCAUGUAACACAAAACAUAAUUCCGUGAUUAUUGGAGGAAAAAAUAGAUACUACAGUCUCCUGAAGGCGCUGCACUUUCAGAAAAAGCCAGGACCGUCUCUAUUCUCUCUUAAACCCACUCAGUUCCUUUCUUGCUUUUAGAUAAAACCCUGGGUGGAUCCCAGAGCUUUGCGGGUCACUGUCAGGCAUUAGAGUUAAAUCCAAAUUCUAGGGAGAGAUGUUUGAAGUACUGAAAGUCCAAGAUUUUUAAAAUCCAUACAUAAAACCCAUUCAGUGGGUCUGGCACUGUUUCUUUGUUCUGUUGCAUAUCUGGAAGUUGCAUUAUUGGGUUUUUCAUAAUGUUUUGACUUUUCUUAGAAAGAUUCAUUUUGUGAAACCACUUUGAGAAUAAAUAUUUUUAUUUUUAUGACUCAUUCUCAGAAGAAUGAAAAAUACUUUGCAGUUUCCUAAAAAUCCCAUUUACUCGAUAAGUUGUAAUUAAGAAGGUCCUGCUGUAGCAUCAGAAAUGAGAAAGAAGCAUAUGAGGCCCAGGACUUGCUCAGCACUAAUGAACCAGAGCUGGCCUGGGUCAAAGCAGGACCAAUGAAAUUUCUGGAUUCCUAAUUGGAAGCUAUCUCAGGAAAUUAACUUACAUUUGAAUAAGAUUUGUGAAUCCUCAAAGCUUGAGAAAAAAUACACAAUUGUGGCAGAGUUCUUUUUUUCAAAAGGACCAACUCUAUGACAAAAAUUUCCAAAUUUCUGAAAAAAGUUAAAGUGGAAUCACCUUGGUAUUAUAUUGUAUGGUGAAUUUUACUGUAUUACUGCCCACAAAUUUUUGUUGGGAGCGUGACAUGCAUCUAACCAAGUCAGCCACGUGACUAGAGUCAGUGAAAGCUGGUCACUGCUACUGCCUAAUAACCCAGGAGUGGUCAUAAAGCCAGACCGGCUCUUGGUUUUCUAAAUCCCUGGAAAAUGCAUUGCUUUAAUUAGCAGACACUAACUUGAGUGACUCCCCUAGAGACUCCCAAUUAACUGAGCUUCUGGACCAGCGUCAUUAGUAACUUCUCUCUUAUUCGUUCAUACAUCACACGCACACAUACACACCCACAUGAAAUCAACAGACAUUCUCAACACUUCAUCACUCGAAAACCCAACCCAAAUGAAUAUUUUCCGAUAGUAAAACAAGAAAGAAUGAAACGAAUGCGGUUUAUUAAGCAAGUAAUCUGGGAAGCAGCACACCGCACAAUUGCUCACCAGCUCACCAGAUUAUAUCGCCUGCUGUGUUCAGUCACUUCUAUUUAAACUUCUAACCAGAUGAACUCACCAUGCCCCCUACUGCUUAGGAGUGAUACUACCACCAUGUAGUGGUGCGCUCCAGAGUUAUUCCCGGCCAUAUGCUGUCGUUCAGAAAGCUUGUUGAACAACGUUGUUUGUCUCCCCUUGGUCACCAAUGCCAGGAUAAAGCGUGGAGUCAUGCUGGCAGGAGAAGUUGCCUCCAGUCGGCAACGACAAACAAGUUCCUUAUUACUGACCCUACCAUCUGUCCCAGUUUCCACGUGCCACCCUCACAUAGGAACAGGUUUCAGCCAGGCCACAUUCAGUGAGCAGCCAGCAUCCACCAGUAGGGUCCGCUUGAAUGUUCAGAUUGCAUCUGUGCUUAGUUCCAUACCUCACUAACCUCCUUCAUCCGGGUUGAAAAGUGGUUGAUGGAGGCUGAAAAAAAAAAUCUCUGGAGAGUUCUUCUGCCAAUAAGACAUGGGUUCACUCACUUCUUGGAUCAGGGAUGGGUACUUAGUGGAGCCAUUAGGCUCUUUGUGGGAAAGGCAAGAUGUAGGUGGCCCCUCCUUUAGGUUAAAAUGUGCACCUACCAAGACCACGCUGCUUGUAGGCAGUGCGUGUGAAAGGAGUGCUGCCUGGUGCAUGAACUGUUAGACCUUUAAAAAUUGUAUAAAAUAGCCAGACACAUGCCCAAGAUGAAGUCAUUUCCUAAAGGCUCAUUUUAUAAAGAGGUAGAUGAUCCUACAUGCUCUGCCAUUGUAGUCUCAAUAUAAAUCAGUUUAUCCCUGCUUGCAGCAUAUCUUGGAUGCUCAAAAUAUCACAUUUGGUGACAAGGAUUAAAAAAAGCAGUGCUCUCAAACCAGCACUACUAAAGUAAGUGCGCCAAGAGCAUGUUAUGGAGACACUGACAGAGAUACAGAGCAGGCAGAAUGUCUACAGAGGAGCGUGGUGAGAGAAAUUGUCUUCUCCUGUUAAUGCCAUUACGAGGAAAGCUUAGGGAAAAGGUGUUCUAUUAAGUGUUUGUGUUAUUUAAAACUCCUCUUCCAUCUGGAAUCUAACGCUACAAAAUGUAGCAAACGGUCAAGCUUCAGGAGAGAUGAUAUACUUGGAAGGGCUGAUAGCACCCCAAGUAUCGGCCAUUGUACAGUGAUGUAAGAUCUAGCAACCACAUCAAACCCCAAGCUAACUCAAUAGGACUGUUUUCAGCCUCUCCAAGAGGGAUGACCAAGGGUGCUGAAAGCAUUGUGGGGUUGUGUGGCAUGGCAUUAGCUGGGACCCUGCAUCCAGGAGAGUCAGCUCUGGGAAGACACAGCCCUCUCAGCCUUUUCAGAUGGCCCUUUAUUCCCCGGCCAUGCAAGUCUCUCACGCACUCCACGGUACCAUGACACCAAUAGCUGAACAGAAAAUCUGGUUCAAAUUGAACUACUUCCUUGGCACCUGCCAUAUUAUUCCUUAGGCUUCAUCGGCAAAAUUAACAGGUGAUCACCUUUGGCAAAUCUCACAGUUAUGGAGUGAAGAGCUUUGUUAGCUAAGAGUUCCUCUGAUUUGUGUGCCUUUUAACUAUUAGGGUGUUAGCGGUCCAUUUUAACUUUUCUUCCUGGACCAAGACUGUGUAGCACGCUACCCUUUACUGGUGCGGGAGAUGGCAUCAACAAAGAAAGAAUCCAUUCUUCUCACAAACCUGCAUUCCCACACUCUUCCCAGGUCCCCUUAUCACACACCUUCUUUGCAUUGACAUUAUUUGGGGGGAAAAUCAGACUAUUCCUCCCCAAUUUGUCCAAGUACUUGGUGUUUUUCUUGAAUUUCUACACUAUUUGUGACUUUUUAGUCAUGCAGUGCUGAGUGCGAAUUCCCGUUCAGUGGGAAAAGGCCUAAAUGGGUAGGGAUUAAGAAUUCUGUUAGAGGAAGGUUAGCGUAGCCCAGUCUGACUUGGGAAAAAUAUCUCUACACAUCGACAAAGGAAAGCCUGUGUAGUUAUGGGUUCGUGAGGCAGUACAGCGAUGAGUACAGUAAUGAGUCAGGGAGGGCUCAGCGGAAUCUUGAACUAAGCCUAGGGCCUGCUGCUCAUUUUCUCGUCUGUAAAAUGGGAAUAAUAAUACUUACGUCAAAGGUAAUUGUGGAGGUCGUAUGAUAUAAUGACACAAGUUUAACAGGGCCUGGCACAGUAAGCGCUCAGGAUUUUGUUAUUUGUGUCAUGAUUCCAAGCACUUUUAAAGCUUAGAGUUUUAUGAAUGGAGAUUCUAAUUGGGUCAUGCUUGAUUUCAAACCUCAAUAUUUAUGCACGUCAUUCUUAUUGUAUAGAUGCAGAAAGUAAGUAAAUGGAUUGGCCUCAGAUGGCUCGACUGGAAAAUGAGAAGCCUUAAUUCCAGUCUUGUUACCUCUGCAAAUGAUAGAAACUCACUCCCUGGGUCUUGCUUCUCUAAUCUCUGAAAUGUAGGAACUGGACUCUCUCACAGUCACUUCCGAUUUAAAGAAGGAUGAUCCUGGAUAUACUCUCCGUUAAAUAUAGAAAAUAACCACCGUCCAUUGUGGGGUAAUUUGAAAGUAACUGAAAGCCUCUCUCAGCUCAAUAUUUCUGCUGUUAACCCAUCAUCUUUUAAUAAAAAUCUCUCAUUAAAAAUUCUCUCUAGAUAUCCUCUUUUAAAAGACACCUAUCAAUCAAUCAUGCUAGUCAUUGGGUACCUAUAAGUGAAGGGUAUAGAAGGCAUAAAACAAGAAAUGCUGUCCUGCUGUAGGACCUUGGAAUUUACUUGGAAAAAAAAUCACCCCACCGUUUUUUAAAGAUCAACAUGUAAUAAGGGUCAGAUGAGGAACAGAGAUAAUACAUAUUUGCACUCGUGUACUUAAACGCUUUUUAAAUCAUCUUACAGAUUUAAAAUCUUUAAGACAAUACAAUUUUUAAAAAAUGUAAGAGUGAUCAGGAAUCAUUUAGGAAGUAAGCACUUAUAUCAAAAACCAAAAAUAAGCUGUACUCUCAAACCAGGACACCAAGUUUAGCUCUAAACUUAAUGGUAGACAAGAAGCUAAAGAAGCUCAUAGGCUUUACAGUGCUUGAUGAAAGAGGAUGUCUCGGUCUGUCUUAAGAGACAUUUUGUUCUUGGCAGCCGCUAAAUCCUGCGAAACUUUGUUACAUGGAUCCAUAUUUAAGAAACAUUCCUUGCUGUAAUGUACCAUACCUAAAACUGCUGUUUUGUGGAGAUGUGAAAAAUGUCCUUCAAAUACCUAUACCACAUCAAGUCCUAAUGGAAGCUAAGGAUUAGCUAAGUCAACUCUGUAGAUGUAUGUAUGAGUAGAGCUAAACUAAUCAACCUUAGGAUUAUUGCUUCAUGGUGACCACACUUAACGCUUAGAGAAACCCAGGAAAAUGGUAGAUUACGCUGCCCUUUAAGCUGAUUUUUUAAAAUAUCAGUUCUUUCUGAGACACUUUUUAAAUAAAAAGAUGUAGUAAGAUUCUGCCUAGAAGAAGUAACCCACUAGCCACUAUUUACCUUUGUGUAAAUUAUUCUAUCGGUCUUUCAUCACUUACGCACUCAACACCAGAGUACUACCAAGGAUUAGUACUAUCAGGAUUAGUUCUACCAAGAGGAGGUAUGUGUCAGAGGCAGUAUGGACAUACUGCUUCCCUAAGCCUAAGACUUCUUUGAAAAAAACUACAUUCUGCUUGUCCUGACAGAGCUAAGCAAAACUUUCUAAAAGUAUGAGGCAAUUCUGUGCUAUAUCAACAGCCACCACCUCCUAUAACUGGUAUCCAAAUGGAAAAUCUGAAUAGUGAACACCUGCUUAUACUUGAAGAUGUAUCCAAAUGACAACCCUUUCCAGAAAGCCUUUAUUAAUACCGUUUCCCUUUACCUCCAAAACUGGGUAAAAGAGUAUAAAUAUUUGUUUGAUCCUUGUAACAACUGCAGGAGACAUGACACUUUUUAUUGUCACUCUAUGUAUGAGGAAAGUAGUGCAGAAAGAGAUUAAGUAACUUGCCCCAAAUUAUCCAGCCUGUCGGUAGCAGACCAGAGAAUCGUACUGAGCCAGUCUGGCUUCAGAAUCCAUGCUCACAAUGCUAUGUGAUGAUACAAGAUGCAGUCUUACUUUAAGCAGAUCGUUUACCAAAGGGAAACAAAUAUUUAUACUUGGAUUUAAUGGAACAGGUUUUUUUCAUUUUGGAGAUAGAAUAAUAACUUCGUUUAAAAAUUGAAGGUGAUAUUCUUCUCAUUUCUUGAAAACUUAUGAUUAGCCCAGAGCCAACUCUAUAAAGCUCCAGUUUGGUCAGAAGUCAUUACCUAGAAGAUAAGGAAGUUAUUAUCAGUGUAAUGUCGCUUCCCAUACUUAUUAUAUAUUUUCGAUGUAAUUAGUCCUUAGCAGUCUCUACUUACGUAGAAUAUAAUUUUAAAUUUGAAGUAGCACCCAAUAUGUAUAAUAAGUUCUAUGAAUUCUGUUUCAUAUAACGGUGGGAAAGAUUUUUUUUAAUUAAAAUGUAUUAUAUGAUAAUGUAUAGUAGUAGUUACAUAGAAAGAAACUAAAAUAUCUCAUACUAUACACCAAAGCAAAUUACAAAAGGAUUAAAUAGUUAGAUAUAAAAACAAACCAAUGAACAGGUAGAAAUUAAAACAGAAUAUUUAGGGAGUUCCCGUGGUAGUUCAGUGGUUAACUAACCCGAGAGGACACGGUUCCAUCCCUGGCCUCACUCAGUGAGUUAAGGAUCCGGUGUUGCCGUAAACUGUGGUGUGGGUCUCAGAUGUGGCUUGGAUCCUGAGUUGCUGUGGCUGUGGUGUAGGCCUGCGGCUGCAGCUCUGAUUCAACCCCUUGCCUGGGAACCUCCACAUGCCUCAGGUGCGGCAGGCCUUAAAAAAACAAAACAAAACAAAACAAAAAAAACCUGAAUAUUUAACAAACUUCUGUAGGUAAUUAAUUUUUAAAAGUAACAGAAAGGAAAAAGAUACUAACAAAUAGAUUUCUUGGUAUACUAGCUUUUUUAUAAACUUAAAAAAAAAACCUUAGAAAAUUAACUACAAUAUUCCUGUAGGUUAUAACUAUCAAAAAGCAAUUUAAAAAUAAAGAUAAUACCAACAAUUAGAGAAUAUUUAUUUAUAUAAUUGUAAAUUAUAAUUUAUAGAUUUAUCUGCAUAAAUUUAAAAACCUAUGUAUAUGAUAGAUUUUUCAAAUUAUAAAGGCUAGCAAUAGAUUUAGGGCAAGUAUAAUAAAUGUGGCAGAGUUGAUUAUUUUAAAUAAAAGUUUAAAUUAAAGUUUUAAGAAAAGUACCUUUAUACCUUUAUAGUCAGGCAAUUCACAAAAGAAAGUACAAUAAUUACGUUUUCAAGCUCAUUGGUUUUUGAAAAAAAUUUAAAGAAAAAUCAGGUCUCAUUUUUAUAUCACAUGCAAAAUAGGCAGAAAAUUGCAUUUAUGUAUAUUAAGACAACAUCAAGUAUCUCAUUGUAACUGGUGAUCUCAAAAACAUUGAAGAUUUUGGAAAUAGUUUCAACUCUUUGGACAAGAAAUCCUGUAAUCUAAGGACUGAAUUAAUUUUAAGGAAAUAUUUCUGAAUACUCUUUUUUUGUAAAAAAUGUGCACACAAGUUCAUUUCAUUAUUUAAUAAACAAAUAGUACUCUUCUAUAAAAACCUGGAAGCAACAUGGAAAUUGAUUAAGUUAUGGCACAGCAUUGAAUAGAGUAUUUCCGUUUCUAGACAGUGAUCUGGCACACUCCACAUGCUAAGAUGCAAAAUGAGCAAACACGCUCUGCGUCAUUUACCAUCAGGAUGACCUGCACAGGAGAAAGAGGGAUCCCCCUAAGAAGGAGAAAAAUUUUGAGUGCUGGACUUAUCUGUGCGUAUUUUCUUUUACUUUUCUCCCUGUGUCAGUUUUUUUCUUUACCUUUAUAACUGAAAAAUAUAGGAAUAAAUUGUCCUCUGCAUAUUUCUUAUGCUGUAAAGAUUUCCUUCUUCUUUUUCAUUUCCUAUCCUAGCAAACUGUACUAUAGCCAAAUGAAUGAAUGUGGAAUAGAUUAGUGACAUGAUCGAGUAUUUUAUGUAUCUGGGGGGGCAUUUUCUAUACCAGUUAAGGGAAAAAGUUCUUAGCAUUAUAAUUUUUUAUUAUUAGUAACAGCUCUCGCACUGAAGUAUUAACCUCAGUCAUGAUGUUCCUGUUGAUGAAAGCAUUAGCAGCGAUUUGACUGAUGGACCUAAAGAAUGCUGAGAUGUUAGAAAGUCUGAUGAGGAUAAUGAAGGAAUUAUAUUUUUGUGUGUCUGUCUUUAAAUUUUUAAUAUCUUAAAUUUUUUUUCCUGAGCUUCCUUCUCCAGGCCCCUCCCAAUGUUAGUUGUGUUCAUUCUCAACGGCAUGGUAGUUGUGAAGGCCACAGAAAUCUUUUCAAAUGUAUUUUAUGUUGUAGGCACUUCAGCAACCAUAUGUCUUCACUUUUAAAAAGCGUUUAAGCAAAGGGAAAUAAACAAAUAUGAAAUAAUAUGUAAAAAAUACAAUAAGGGAACCCUAGAAACUAAAAUUAUUUCGUUGUUAAUGAUCUUUCUUCACUGCUCACCCAUCUGAGCAUAAUAUGGCAAGUGUGUUCACCAGUUUCCUUCCUGUUAUAACUGGAUCUCUUGGCUUGUUGCAGCCUCAUUCUUCAGGAGUCUACGCUUUGAACUUCUCAGUAGGAACGUCUUGACUUCACCUCUGUAUUGAGUCAUAGGUGAUCAGGUCAUGAAGACUGACAUUUGUACUCAGGUGUCUUCAGAUCCUGUGAACAGACACACACACAAAGAGUUGUCUCUUCAGCUUCCACUGCUCUUGACCUUCUCAGUGUAUUUCAGUUGUCUUGCUCUGACGUACAGCAGGGACCAGCAAUCCAUGCUCCCUGCCCUUCUUGUUGUGCACAUCCCACAACACUACCCUUUCUCAGGUGGAGACCAGAGAGAGAUCGAUGUGCUUCCUGUGACUCCUGUUUAGCAGAGUUAGCUGAUGUAGUGGUGCCUGGGUAUUAUUACAUGCAUGCAAAGUACCAUUCUCUCUCUUUCAGAUCCUCUUUAUAAAGAAGAAUUAUAGUAGGCAAAACAACUGUACAUGUUGCCUCAACCUUUGUAUGUAAAGUUAUGAAGUGUGAGUCCUUGUAAAAACAUGAAAGUCAAUAAUGAUAAGCACCAUAUUAUUGUGUUCAACUUUGACCAAAAGCCUCUUUAGGGUCCUUCCAGUGACUGAUUACAUCGGACCCAUAGCCUUUUUCUCUGGGAUUUCUUGGAGCUUCGAAAUUCUUUGCGCUCAGUCGGGAAAUUCUUGAUGUUUUCUGUACAUCAGAUGCAAUCUUAUAUACUUUGUAUGAAAUAGAAAUUACCAGGGUAUUUUUUUCCUCAUCUGUUCAUAUUUAAAAUGUCUUACAAUGAUUUUCCAUAAAUAAGCAAUCACUGGAUAAGUAGAGAGGUGUAAAUAGCUGGAUAGAUAAGAUGAUAGGAAAAAAAUCAGGGUAGACAUUAAAGUGAGAAAGAUAAAAUGGAGAAGAAAUGGAGUUAAUAAUCAAGUCUAUAUGAGUGGCCCUGUGUCCCUAAUAAGAGAACGUUGAAAAUAAGGGUCUAAGCUGCCCAACUCAUGUACAAAUUGUAGCAAUCACAUGCAAUUAAUAAGACCUACGGGUAUAAACCAAGAGAAGCAAAGCACAGCUUUUUCUGGUAGGAAUCUCUCAGGAAAUGUCUAAUACAUCCUUAAAAAUAUACUGUGUUCUAGAACCACAUCUCUGAUAUAAAUGCAGUAGUAGGUUUCAUAGUGUAGCGCUUUAUACUGCCCUUCCCUGUUGACAGUGAUGAGAUUUUUACAUCUCAAGCAGAUCUCUGAAACUUAAAUUUAGAGCACCUAUAAAUAAAAUUUAGAAAAUCUAAAGAAAAAAGGAUUUUUCAAACCAUUCUCCUUGGCUAUUCUAUUUUCAAAUCUCUAUUUGAUCAUCACUGAGUGGCAGGCAGCAUGAGCAUACCCUCUGUACCCUCUCCAGCCUCUAGUGAAGUUUCCCCCUACUGCUAAGGCAGACCCAUGCCGUCUUAGCUUACCUGUUAAUAGAACACCUACAGGAAAGGCUGGGGCAUUUAAAAGUGUCAGGGUAUAGACUAGAACAGUCCUCAUGAGUGGAGCCGGUAUUUUGUGCAAAGAUAAUUUUGGAUCCCCUUAAAGCACGCAUUGGAGGUGCUGAAGGAGACCAGAAGAUGCAACUCACUGGGUGCUACAGGAAUUAAAGUUACAAACUCUAACAAAAAGCAGAACAGAAAUGCGGCAGUAGAGACGCAAUAACAACAGUCAGUGUCAGAGAGUUUUUGAGCCACAGUUUGACAGAGGAGCCGUGUUUUACAGGGCAAAGAAGUUCAAGAGGGUUUAAGGCUGAGUGGACUGUGCAGAAGACCCUGGGUGCUUCCAGGGCUGCUGAUAGAGAGAGUGUAUGGAGCAGCACACUGGCGCACUGGCGUAAGGCUGCAAAGGUGAACUAGGCUGAGGCCUGAGGGGAUGUUUUGAACAAAUGACUUGGGACUUAGUAGCCAGGAAGGAGGGGUUUGCAGUUUAUUUAGGGGGCAAUUGAAGGCUUUCCUAAAGGAAUAGUCACCCUAUGAGUGGAUGUUGGAGGGUAAAUUGAGUGGAAAAGGCUAGAGACGGAAGCUACUAAUUGAAGUAGGCGCCAUAAGGCAGGGUCAAGGCCCGAAACUAGGAAGAGCAGAGAAGAUGAGGGGAGAAGUGGGGAGGGAGAAUUGAGAUGAGAAAUGAUGACACUUGUUGGCCAACUAGGGAGCAAAAUGAGCGCUUAGAGACCAGGCUGAGAUUUCUAGACUCUGUGUCUCUGUGAUGCGACCCCUGAUUGUGACAGAGGAAGAUGAACAGGGACUCUAUGUAAGACACAGCUCAAAAUUUGAAUCCAACGCUCAGCAAGUGAAAUUUUAAGAACUAGAGAAUCUCUUAGCACAAGGAUCUGGAGACUCACAAGAAUGAUUAUGGAAGGACAGGUUCUCCAAGGAAUUAAUUGUGGCCUGACAAAAUCUGAGUAGGCUCCAAUGAGAGAGGACAAUAAAAUUGUACUUGGUUUCACACCUCUGUCCACAUCCUAAAUUUCUCUCUUUCCUAAAAGAUAUUAUUCUAUAGUGUAGUAAAUUAUUGUUUCAGGAGCUAUUUGACUUCAAUUUCCAGCAGGAAAAGUUAAAAACCAAAAAAAAAAAAA